This 1113-nucleotide ribosomal RNA is filed under the name Bifidobacterium sp. CWSAB6. RNAcentral's name for it is "bacterial SSU rRNA". It matches the Rfam family "Bacterial small subunit ribosomal RNA", at positions 193 to 1315 of the family's 1533-position model. The record is from RNAcentral. Lineage: Bacteria; Bacillati; Actinomycetota; Actinomycetes; Bifidobacteriales; Bifidobacteriaceae.
GGGGGCGGGGAAAGCUGUGGCGGAGUGGGAUGGGGUCGCGUCCUAUCAGCUUGCUGGCGGGGGGAGGGCCCACCAAGGCUUCUACGGGUAGCCGGCCUGAGAGGGCGACCGGCCACNUUGGGACUGAGAUACGGACCAAAGUCCUACGGGAGGGAGCAGUGGGGAAUAUUGCACAAUGGGGGCAAGCCUGAUGCAGCGACGCCGCGCGCGGNAUGGAGGCCUUCGGGUUGUAAACCGCUUUUGUUUGGGAGCAAGNCCUUCGGGGNGAGUGUACCUUUCAAAUAAGCACCGGUUAACUACGUGCCAGCAGCCGCGGUAAUACGUANGGGGCGAGCGUUAUCCGGAUUUAUUGGAUGNAAAGGCUUCGUAGGCGGUUCGUCGCGUCCGGGGUGAAAGUCCAUCGCCUAACGGUGGAUCUGCCCCGGGUACGGGCGGGCUGGAGUNCGGUAGGGGAGACUGGAAUUCCCGGUGUAACGGUGGAAUGUGUACAUAUCGGGAAGAACACCAAUGGCGAAGGCAGGUCUCUGGGCCGUUACUGACNCUGAGGAGCGAAAGCGUGGGGAGCGAACAGGAUUAGAUACCCUGAUAGUCCACGCCGUAAACGGUGGAUGCUGGAUGUGGGGCCCUUCCACGGGUCCCGUGUCGGAGCCAACGCGUUAAGCAUCCCGCCUGGGGAGUACGGCCGCAAGGCUAAAACUCAAAAAAAUUGACGGGGGCCCGCACAAACGGCGGAGCAUGCGGAUUAAUUCGAUGCAACGCGAAGAACCUUACCUGGGCUUGACAUGUUCCCGGCGACGGCGGAGACGUCGUUUCCCUUCGGGGCGGGUUCACAGGUGGUGCAUGGUCGUCGUCAGCUCGUGUCGUGAGAUGUUGGGUCAAGUCCCGCAACGAGCGCAACCCUCGCCCCGUGUUGCCAGCGCGUCAUGGCGGGAACUCACGGGGGACCGCCGGGGUUAACCCGGAGGAAGGUGGGGAUGACGUCAGAUCAUCAUACCCCUUACGUCCAGGGCUUCACGCAUCGUACAAUGGCCGGUNCAGCGGGAUGCUGACAUGGUGACAUGGAGCGGAUCCCUGAAAAACCGGUCUCAGUUCGGAUCUGANCCUNCAACCCGG